UCGAUUGUACGCAUUUCUCUUGAUCUCUUUUCUAACAAACCAUGCAUUUACAUAUUUGCAGCUAAAGUAUUUACUACAAAACUUAGACAUGUGAAAAUGUCGGCUAAGCUAUUUAAAAAACGAACAAAAUGAAGCCACAUGUACAUACAAAAUGGCACCCAACUACUGGAAGAAACAGGUAGUUAGCUAGACAGCAACCAAUGGAUAGGCUCUUUUAACGACAAUAAAUUACAAGUAAGCAAUCCAUAAUCAUCAAUAACUUUGAAUAAACUUGAUCAGAUAAUGGUUUCUUGCUCAUUCUAUUCCCAAAAGUAGAUAUUAGGAGAGUGAUGAGAGUUGAGUAAAAGAUGAAAUUUAGAGGAGCCAAGCAACUUUAGCUUUUGGAUUCAGCAGUGAGUUAACAAGAUAUGGUAUUAGAGUAGGAAAUCUUCUAUUCGAUCCUUUACAAUGUCGUUUCUUCACCGAAUUGACCUUGACAAGAGCCUUGCACUAAUUUCGAAGUUCAAAAGUGACCUAUCAAUGACCCCUAUCUAACUGGACUCUUGCUUAAAGGCUCAAGAUAGAGUCCAAAAGAAAAUUCCUCGUGGUUUUGUUCUCCUUUUUUUUCUCUUUUUUCUUUAAUAGAGACAACUUCCGUUGAAAAAAAAAAAACAGACUUACAAAAAACAUCCAAGAGACUCCAGCUAUGCAUAUAUCAACAAGUCUCCUUGAAACUGUAAUGGCAGGUCAUUAGAACAAAAAAUAUCACCUGUUUCAUAGAAAUUAGCUAGUAGAACCCAUACUUUAGUCUCAUUAGAUUAAAAGGAGUAAUGGGUUGCUUAAAGAUAGAAAUAGAGAAUUCUAUACAGCAUACUGCCUCCUCUAGAACUGAUGCUCCCUCUUAAGUUUUAAGUGUACUUAAUUUGAAUUGGGCCCUUCGUCAACCCCUUCUUGGAGUUGGUGUGUGUUUUAGUCCUUGUGUUAGAUGAUUAAUUAAUCUAUUUCAUACAAAUCUUGAUAUUUUAUAUGUCGAAAGCACGGCAAGUCAAUUUAUGCAUGUACCUAAAACAACUCAUUUUGAAACUGUCUACAACACUUUGAGCUAUGUAAAAGGAACUUCAGGAAAGUAUAUUAUAUUUGAAAAGCACAAUCACUUCCAUGUAGAAGUUUACAUAGAAGCAUAUUAGGCAGGAAGGCUAUGGAUGGAUCUACAUCUGAUUAUUGAUUAUUGUUCCUUGGCUGGAGGAAACCUGGUUAUUUGGAGAAUAUUGUUUGUAUUCUUUUUCAAACUUUCAUACAUCAUAACAAUUUUCAAAUUUUCAAUUUAAUGUUAUUAGAUCUAAACUGACACAAGUUGACGACACUCACAGAAAUUUGGAGGAAGGAACUCACUUAGUAUUAUGGUAUAGAAGGUUAGAUUACCAUUAGCUAGGGGUAUUUAUGAGUUGAUUAGGUUUUGUGAUAUUUUAGAGCUUAGAUCCAACCAAAUUGUUCAAGUUGCCUGACAUUUGUUAGAUCUACUAGUUCUAUAUACUCUUAACCAAGGGAGUCAAGAAAAUAGACUAUCCAAAAACUUGUAAACUAAACCCACUCAUACAAUUUGGGUUUAGGGUUUAAAAUUAUUUUUGGGUUAGAAAUACGAAGAGAUGUUUGGACACCUGUAAAUGAAUUAGAAUGCAUUGUAAUGUAAUCCAAAAUUCAUCCUUAGAUUGAGUGUUUUGAACCGAAUUUUAAUAUUAAACUCAUUUUGUUCCGACAGUUUUCAAUUAAACUUCAUUUUCAUCGUUUUCACUUUUUACAAUUUUAUUUUUGUUCUGUCCUCAAUUCAACAUGCAACACCCCCUACAAUCAACCACGUUUAAAAUACUAACUAAAAAGACAUAAGGAAAAAUGUUAAAACAUAAGGGAUUAAGAUGAACUUUUUAAACAAAAGGAACUAAAGUGUAAAAGAUCCCAAGGAAGAGAGGACUAAAACAUUAAUUUAAAUAGAAAGAAUCUAGAAAUCCGACCACCCAUUCUAUGAUUAUCCUAGAAUGAGGUUCAACAACAAAGCCAUUACUUCUUUUCCUCCAUUUUAUAGAACUCCUACAUUAAGCACGCAUAGCAUAGCCUUGAAUUAUAGGGGGAUUUUGUUGAUAACAAUAGUUCAUAUUAAAUUUGAAGCUAAACACAACCAUCAGGCAUCAACUAGAAGUCUUGUACCGGAACAACGACCACUGGUAGAAAUUGAUCCCCAAAGGGUAAAAUCAGAAGUAACACAAACUAGAAAUAAGCCCAGAACUACAAAACCCAAAACACCAACUAGGAAAUGUCAUAAAAAUAAAAGACUGAAACUACAAAUCUCGCCAAUAAUCGCCAUUUAGAAUUAGAUCCAGAAUUCUAAGACAAGAAUCCUAAUCUAAAACAAAAAAACUGCAACCAAAAACCAAAACUAGAUCCAGAACCAUAAAACUGUAAUCACUGCUGAGAAAGUUGAUUUAAAGAUACAAACUAGAACUACAAGUCAGUACCAUAAGAACCAAGUAGAACUACUGGUCAGACAUAAUCUCUGGGGUUCCCUUUUUUUCUCCCAAUCCUGUGAAAUGCCUUGUGAAGACUGGGUCCAAACGAAUUUUGAAAGGACACUUGGUUAGGCAACAAUCCUCUAGUCCUCUUUGUACUAGAUCUCCAUGUCUCCAUCAUUCAAGUACCUCUUCUUCCUUUCCUUUUGGUUUCGGCCACCCUUUCUUUGCUUGGGAGUUCCAUCUUUACUCCCAGGGGUAGGGAUUCUUGUAAUCUGACCCCUGACCUUUCUAGAGAGUUCUUUUGUAAUUCUUACUUCUGUAUUUUGAGCGGUCCCUCACCAAAUUACAUAGAAGGCUGUUUAGCAUUUUCUUAACAAGGAAUGAAGUUCUAUAAUAAAGGAGAUCCUAGCCAUUUCAAGACAAGGGUUCAGUUUUAUGGCAGGUUGGUUUAUUUGCAGUUUUUUGGGCCCUUUGGCUUGGAAGUUGAAAGAAAUUAUAAAGUUUAUAUAGAAGAGUUCGGGAGGAGGUUUGGUCGUCAACUAAGUCUAGCUUCUAUUUAAGUGUUGGCCUCUAAGGAAUUUCCUAAUUACCUGUUAGGUCUUAUUCUAGUGGAUUAGAGGCAUAUUUUACUAAGUUGGUUGGCUCCUUUGGUUGGGUUAUUUCUGUAUUUCCAUUGGCCUUUUGUUUUGCACUCUUUUGGUUUCUCAUUACAUAUAUAUUCAACACUAUAUGCUAUAGCUAUUACCCCUAUAAUCACAAACUAGAAUUAGAUCCAAAACCAUGCAAUCACCUUCACCAACAAGAAGCAGAGUAAGAUCAUAAAUUAGAAGCACAAGUUGCAACCAAAAUCACCUAGUAGAGUUAGAUCCAAAAGCAAAAUCUAGAACGAACCAUACAUGUAAAAUCGAAACUACAGGACACAAUCAAAAUCAAGAAAUAAAAAUGCAAUGUGCUAGAUGAACUUUUAAUGAAAUCAUGUAUUCAAUGAAAGUUCUUUCAUACUCAAUAUGUUGAUGACGAAAUUCAUCAAACAUAACUUGUUGGUUAGAGAUUUAGCAAGCUCAGCCUGAUAAUUGGGGAAUUCAACAAUCUCUUCCUACUUUGUGAAGCAAAAUUUAGAAGCAUGCAUGUAUGGAAAAUCAACUACUUCACCACUAUUUAACACAGAAAUGAGCAAUUUGUUAGUUGACUUAUGAUAGCUCAUUUAUUUAUUUAUUAAAAGAAAACAGAAAAAUAAUGGCUUGUUCAUUUUUAAAACAAUUAAAAAAGUAACAAAAGAAAAAGAAAAAGAAAGAAGAUAACUCAUGCAUUUGUGAUAAAGGGCCAAAUUAGAAAAAGAAAGUGAGUUGUUUUAUUGAGUGUUGCUAACUAGGAUAGGAAAACAAACCAAUAAUUUUGUAUUAUUAUAGAAGGUUUUGAAUAUCUCAUGUUUGCUUGAAAACUCAUAUUUCCUCCAAAACAAGUCACUUCAAUGUUAAUAGGUGAGUUUUUGCUCAAAGGUCACUUUCUCUAAUAUCCAUAAGCCUUACAAUCAAAAGAGGAAGGUAGUUUCAAGGUCUUAAACACUUGAAAAGUGAGAUGGACAAUAUUUCCCCAAACAAAAACUACAGGUGGAAGCACUAAAUCAAUCUGAUAGCUCUUGUAGUCCAAAAAGGAAAGAGAAGAAAUGUUUCCUUCUGAAAACAAUAAAAGAGGACAAAAAGAAGUUUGAUACUUUACACAAGCCUCCAUGGUAUUGGGAACAAUAUAAAUCACUCAUAAUCAAACUAGAAACUUCCUUUGCAAUAUCUUUCAAUCUUUACAACCAUGCUUUGCAAUUAAUAUCAUGAUUUAGGUACAAUCUUCCUUUGCAUGCAUUUCUUCAAGAAAACAAAGGCAGUAAGUGGGCAUUUAGAUGCCAAUAUGAAAGGAGAGAUAAGGGAAUAAAAUAAUGUGUUUGGCAUAUGAACUAAUUUUUUUAUUAUUUGAACUUGAAUAAGGUAUUCUCUUAAGAAAGACGACUUCGAUUAUAUGACCUUUAACUGAUCACUAAAAUUCUAAACAGUCAAUUACCCAACUUUCCUAAGCACAAUAACCCACUUUACUAAGCAUAAUAACCUGUAGAUUCAUCUAGCCAAAUUGAAGAGAGAGAGGACAUAGAUGAUACAAAGAUAAAUAACUUGUCUAAAAGGGAGAGAAGCUAUAGACUCUCAAUAUGAAUGUGACAUCUUGCACGGGUCCUUUACAGUAUCUAGUCUAUUUAUUUUACAUCCUCACCAUUUGUAACUCUUGAAAGCAACAGUUGUUGAUAAUGAAUAUCAAUUAGUAUAUGAUCUAAAUUCAAGUUGAGUAACAAUUUAAUAAAUUCAAUGUGGUCCAAAAAAAAAAAACUUGCAUAUGAAACUAGGUGAAAAGGAUGUAGGCCCAAAAGGAACUUACAAACUCAUGAAAUAUUUCUUUAUACAUGGUAUCAGAUCCUCACUCCAAUGAUUCGUGAAACUAAACAAGAAAUCUAGAAUAAGAAAACACACCCAGAAAAAGAUGGAAAGAAAAUUUGCCAUAAAUGAACAUGUUGAUUGCUCAAAUGGAGCUCCAAAAAGAAACCCAGAAGCAAAAAGGAAUAAAUUUUUUUAGAAUGGAAGUUAAGAGAUUCUGAUGAAAUGAACAGUCACAUGUAAAAGCAAGAAUGCCCAAAGAAACAAACGAAUCCUUAGCCAAAUUCACGUAUCCUAAAAGAAUAAUAUCUAACAAAUAAGAAGAAAUGGUCACCUGUUCAAACCAGCUCUGUCGGUUUGGUGGAGGGAAUCAUAAUGAAAAAUGGUGACCGAAUGAGAAAAUGACUCAGUUUAGUCCCACCGAC
Molecule: long non-coding RNA, 5322 nt
Filed under: Cucumis sativus (cucumber)
Lineage: Eukaryota; Viridiplantae; Streptophyta; Magnoliopsida; Cucurbitales; Cucurbitaceae
Description: long non-coding RNA (CSAT_LNC002878)
Source: RNAcentral